UACAGAGGUCCCAAGCGUUGUUCGGAUUCACUGGGCGUAAAGGGUGCGUAGGUGGUUGGGAAAGUUUGAUGUGAAAGCUCGGAGCUUAACUCCGAAAUGGCAUUGAAUACUUCUUAACUUGAGGGUCGGAGGGGAGACUGGAAUUCUCGGUGUAGCAGUGAAAUGCGUAGAUAUCGAGAGGAACACCAGUGGCGAAGGCGAUCAUCUGGGGUUGUUCUGACACUGAGGAGCGAAAGCUAGGGGAGCAAACGGG
This 253-nucleotide ribosomal RNA is filed under the name uncultured bacterium. Its description in RNAcentral is "partial 16S ribosomal RNA". It matches the Rfam family "Bacterial small subunit ribosomal RNA", at positions 524 to 776 of the family's 1533-position model. The record is from RNAcentral.